AUUGAACGCUGGCAGCAUGCUUUACACAUGCAAGUCGGACGGCAGCACAGAGAAGCUUGCUUCUUGGGUGGCGAGUGGCGAACGGGUGAGUAAUAUAUCGGAACGUACCGAGUAAUGGGGGAUAACUAAUCGAAAGAUUAGCUAAUACCGCAUAUUCUCUGAGGAGGAAAGCAGGGGACCUUCGGGCCUUGCGUUAUUCGAGCGGCCGAUAUCUGAUUAGCUAGUUGGUGGGGUAAAGGCCUACCAAGGCGACGAUCAGUAGCGGGUCUGAGAGGAUGAUCCGCCACACUGGGACUGAGACACGGCCCAGACUCCUACGGGAGGCAGCAGUGGGGAAUUUUGGACAAUGGGCGCAAGCCUGAUCCAGCCAUGCCGCGUGUCUGAAGAAGGCCUUCGGGUUGUAAAGGACUUUUGUCAGGGAAGAAAAGGCUGUUGCUAAUAUCAAUAGCUGAUGACGGUACCUGAAGAAUAAGCAUCGGCUAACUACGUG
Molecule: ribosomal RNA, 490 nt
Filed under: uncultured bacterium
Lineage: Bacteria
Description: partial 16S ribosomal RNA
Rfam family: Bacterial small subunit ribosomal RNA
Source: RNAcentral